This is a transfer RNA of Plasmodiophora brassicae, 85 nucleotides long. It matches the Rfam family "tRNA". Rfam says of the family: Transfer RNA (tRNA) molecules are approximately 80 nucleotides in length. Their secondary structure includes four short double-helical elements and three loops (D, anti-codon, and T loops). Further hydrogen bonds mediate the characteristic L-shaped molecular structure. tRNAs have two regions of fundamental functional importance: the anti-codon, which is responsible for specific mRNA codon recognition, and the 3' end, to which the tRNAs corresponding amino acid is attached (by aminoacyl-tRNA synthetases). tRNAs cope with the degeneracy of the genetic code in two manners: having more than one tRNA (with a specific anti-codon) for a particular amino acid; and 'wobble' base-pairing, i.e. permitting non-standard base-pairing at the 3rd anti-codon position. NCBI's taxonomy places the organism in Eukaryota, Endomyxa, Phytomyxea, Plasmodiophorida, Plasmodiophoridae. The record is from Rfam.
GCCUGCAUGGCUCAGUUGGUAGUAGCGUAGGUCUCAUAUCCAAUGAGUUAUCCUGAGGUCGCAAGUUCGAGCCUUGCUGCAGGCA